Molecule: ribosomal RNA, 513 nt
Filed under: uncultured bacterium
Lineage: Bacteria
Description: partial 16S ribosomal RNA
Rfam family: Bacterial small subunit ribosomal RNA
Source: RNAcentral
GACGAACGCUGGCGGCGUGCUUAACACAUGCAAGUUGAGCGCUGAAGGUUGGUACUUGUACCAACUGGAUGAGCAGCGAACGGGUGAGUAACGCGUGGGGAAUCUGCCUUUGAGCGGGGGACAACAUUUGGAAACGAAUGCUAAUACCGCAUAAAAACUUUAAACACAAGUUUUAAGUUUGAAAGAUGCAAUUGCAUCACUCAAAGAUGAUCCCGCGUUGUAUUAGCUAGUUGGUGAGGUAAAGGCUCACCAAGGCGAUGAUACAUAGCCGACCUGAGAGGGUGAUCGGCCACAUUGGGACUGAGACACGGCCCAAACUCCUACGGGAGGUAGCAGUAGGGAAUCUUCGGCAAUGGACGAAAGUCUGACCGAGCAACGCCGCGUGAGUGAAGAAGGUUUUCGGAUCGUAAAACUCUGUUGGUAGAGAAGAACGUUGGUGAGAGUGGAAAGCUCAUCAAGUGACGGUAACUACCCAGAAAGGGACGGCUAACUACGUGCCAGCCGCCGCCGUAA